CUGCUCACGCACACGCCGCGGGCCUGUCGCCUCCGCGGCGUCCUGGAUGCAACUCGCCGCGGCGCCCCUGCCUUUGGAGGAGCAGCGGCGCGAGGCUGCUGGGGAUGCGUUAAUACUGACUGGAAGUCCUUAGCAUUUGGGUGGUAUAAAUAGAAAUCGGAUUUUCCAGCUUCUCAGACUUUACCAUCCAAGAGAAGAGACUCUCAGCCCUUGCUCAGAUCCUGGGAUUCAGAAUGAAGAAUAGAGGUAGGGCUGGAGGCUGCAUUUCCACAGCAUCCCAUGAGAUUCUGCAUAUCUCCUGAUUCAGAUCAUCUCUCCUAGUCUGGAGUCUGAAGUAGUCUGGAGUUAAUAGAGUUUCGA
Phacochoerus africanus (Common warthog) is the source of this 360-nucleotide long non-coding RNA. RefSeq lists it as uncharacterized. NCBI's taxonomy places the organism in Eukaryota, Metazoa, Chordata, Mammalia, Artiodactyla, Suidae. The record is from RefSeq and is a predicted model, not a curated record. The transcript has 3 exons.